GGCCAGGUAGCUCAGUUGGUUAGAGCAUUGUCUUGAUACGCCAAGGUUGCAGGUUUGAUCCCUGGUCAGGGCA
This is a non-coding RNA of Myotis lucifugus (little brown bat), 73 nucleotides long. The record is from Rfam. Lineage: Eukaryota; Metazoa; Chordata; Mammalia; Chiroptera; Vespertilionidae.